Molecule: unclassified non-coding RNA, 240 nt
Filed under: soil metagenome
Description: partial contains 5.8S ribosomal RNA, internal transcribed spacer 2, and large subunit ribosomal RNA
Source: RNAcentral
AACAUCGCGCACCUGCGGGAACCUGCGGAAGGAUCAUUACAGAGUUGCAGAACUCCCUAAACCAUUGUGAACGUUACCUAAACCGUUGCUUCGGCGGGCGGCCCGGGUCCUUCCCGGCGCCCCUCGGCCCUCGCGGGCGCCCGCCGGAGGUAAACCAAACUAUUGCAUUGUAUGGCCUCUCUGAGUCUUCUGUACUGAAUAAGUCAAAACUUUUAACAAUGGAUCUCAGAUCGGAAGAGC